UCAGAAUUCGGGUUGAUUUGACUGGGCACCAGCGUAAAAGAGCAUUAUUUUAUUACGUAACGCAGUUGGUGGUGUGGGUUGAGGGGGUGGGAGGUUCGAACGAGUUAAGUAUGUUUUUUGAAAUUUGUAUGGACAUUUUAAACGAAGGGCGAGGGGGUCAAAAAAUCCAAAUUUUAGCGUUACGUAAUAAAAGAAGUGUAAUGAGCAGGCAUUCGUUGGUUGGUUUCUAGCCGAGUUCUAACACAGUUUCCAUUUUCUUAUAGAAUUCUAACAGAAAUGUAGUGACAUUCUAGCAGGAUUCUUACAGAACCAGCUCUGCUAAAAUAUUUUGUGCCUGGGCAACGUUAUUGCUUCACCGAGUAACAGCAUUAAACUUUUUUUAGUUCAACUAUGAUUACACAUAUAAUCCUACUUGAACCUACUGCUCAGUCAACUCAAUCGGAAUUCUAAAACGGAAUUCAGUUCGGUUGUUGCGUUUGAAACGGAAUACUUAAACGAUUCGAUUUUAAUUCCGAUUGAGUUGACUGGGUAGUACCGCGGGUAUAGAGUUAUCUAAGUGCGCAUGUAUUGCGUGUACGUACACGAAAAAAAGUGAGGUUAAAUUUUGUACCAGCCAGCAAAACAAAUGGUGUGCUAGUGUAUGUGAGAUCGGGCUUAGAUAGCUCCAUGAAUAUUCAAGUAAUUUCAAUAUGGCGACUUGUAUCAGAAGAAGGUGAGGCGUUUUCGCUAGUUGUAACUGUUCUGUGUUCUGUGUGCACGUCCGCAAACAUCGACCACACACAUACUUAUACAAAGCGCCACCAAGAGGCAAAAGGUAAUUACGAAUAUUUUUGACAAUUUCGUUUCGGUUUUGCAAAAACAAAUAACAAAAUUAGCUUUUAAGUAAAGUUUGACUAUCAAACUUGUAAUUGUUGCUGAUUUGUACGAAAAUUUGAACAAAAAAUAAUAUAUAUCGUAUAUAUAUAUAACUCGUGGUGGUGAAUUACGGGUAAGAACGCGGAAUGAGCGUAUCACCAGCCAUUGACGACCAUCUAUUCCACAGAGCUUCCCGGUCGGAAGUGGACGGCACCAGGCAGAGGCAGGCCCGCGAAGCACAAUAAAACAUCUACCAAGCACGCAAAACAUCACGACACAAGCCGGCACCAAGUGCGAGCCAGCGGAGGCGUCGGUAACGCAGAUCGCUGGGCGCGUCGCUAACCGUUCUAACAGAAUUUCCAUCAUUAGGACCGAGCGGCCUCACCCAAAGGAGAACGAUCAGAGGGGUCGGUAAAGUAGCCGGCACGAACCAACGCUCACUAGGCCAGAACGCUCCAUCGGUCCAGGACCUGCGGCAUUCAUUCCACCGUCGUCGCCGGAUCACGUACGAUAGAGCACAACGCGAAUCCCGCGAACGGGAACCGAGGACACAGGACGUCACUGGAUCGCUGCCGAUAAGUUGCGUCGAGGUCUUGGAGUAGUUGCACGCGAUCGGAAGCCAAACGCCCCCAAGAAACACGGGGGCGUUUUUUGGGACACUUGAGUCAUUGGAGUUUCGGCGCUCGAGGUUGGACGUGCGGAAGGCCGGCAGUCCGGAGAGGAGCAUUCGGUUCGCGAGGCACGCGUAGGGACGCUGCAGGAAAGCGUCGAAGAUCAGACGC
Long non-coding RNA from Culex pipiens pallens (northern house mosquito), 1637 nucleotides. RefSeq lists it as uncharacterized. The record is from RefSeq and is a predicted model, not a curated record. NCBI's taxonomy places the organism in Eukaryota, Metazoa, Arthropoda, Insecta, Diptera, Culicidae. The transcript has 4 exons.